CGGGAAGAUUAGAUGUCCGCUGUCCCUGAAAAGGGGCAGAGGAAAGUCCGGACACCACAGGGCGGGAUACUUCCUAACGGGAAGCUGCAGCAAUGCAGAGCCAGCUCCACAGAAACAAACCGCCGGGCGCCCUCCUUUUUACGGUGCCGUUGAGAGACCGCAGCGUUUUUCGCGCCCUGGCAAGGGUGAAAUGGUGGUGUAAGAGACCACCGGGGACCUUGGUGACAGGGUCUGCCAGGAAAGCCUUAUCCGGUGCAAUGCCAAAUAGGGAAGCUCAGCGCGGCCCGCGCCAUUAUGCUUUCGGGUAGGCAGCUUGAGCCAGGGCGUGAGUCUUGGCCUUAGAUGGAUGGACAUCGGUCUUGAAAAAGACUACAGAAUCCGGCUUAUAGAUGGUCCUGAGAU
This 402-nucleotide RNase P RNA is filed under the name Cloacimonas sp. (SeqCode). RNAcentral's name for it is "RNase P RNA component class A". It matches the Rfam family "Bacterial RNase P class A". From Rfam's summary of the family: Ribonuclease P (RNase P) is a ubiquitous endoribonuclease, found in archaea, bacteria and eukarya as well as chloroplasts and mitochondria. Its best characterised activity is the generation of mature 5'-ends of tRNAs by cleaving the 5'-leader elements of precursor-tRNAs. The record is from RNAcentral. Lineage: Bacteria; Pseudomonadati; Candidatus Cloacimonadota; Cloacimonadia (SeqCode); Cloacimonadales (SeqCode); Cloacimonadaceae (SeqCode).